RNAcentral lists this long non-coding RNA (1159 nucleotides) under Taeniopygia guttata (zebra finch). Its description in RNAcentral is "lncRNA (ENSTGUG00000024927.1)". Lineage: Eukaryota; Metazoa; Chordata; Aves; Passeriformes; Estrildidae. The record is from RNAcentral.
CUGAUCUACACAAAACAUUGCUAUAAGUCUGCAGAAGCCUAAGUUCAUGUUAGGAUCAGUGGCACAACCAAUGUGUACCACUUGCCAAAAGCUUCACCUGCUGUCCUAUGGCUGACAGCCAUCAGCACAGUGAGCAUUUGUCAUGUUGGACCCAGCUGCUUCCCAGCCUUACUCUCUCUUCAGCACCAAGUCCUGACAUUUUGACUGAGGCCAUUCCUGUUUUACCUCAGUGAUGCUUCACUCUUUUUUGGUUUCUGUCUGCCCCACAGAAAGAAGUAGGGGGUGGAACCCGCAGCUUUUCUUGGGAAAAAGAAACUGCUCAGCUUUCUUAGCCUAGAAAGGGGCUGCCAGCUGCAUGUCCAAAACUGGUUCCAUGGGAUCCAGACACAGAGCAGUUCCUGCCUGCCUCGCCUGUGCCAAAGCUAAUGAGAAAACAUCAGGCAAGUUUCAAAACUGGGAACAUAGUGUUACAUCAGUGUUUCCUGCCCCAUUGAAAUAGUUUUUGAAAGUAGCUGCUAAAUCACCAGUUCCUGUUGUAGGGCCUGUCAGAGCUGCUGAUCUCCAACUGGAAGUAGGCCAUGAAGGCACAGCGCUAGUGUUAGUAAUUUCUGAAGUGUCUAUAAUGCCCUCUUGGAGGCACAUGCCACCUGUGUGUCCCAGGACAUAGCCCAGAGGUGUUUUUUCAUUACAAGUAUUGGAGAAUCUCCAACCUGGCUGAUUUUGAGCCAGUGGGCUCCACAAGUAAAAGUUGUUUACAAGGAAGUAGCUAAGACAAACCAACUUUAUACAUGUUCUGUAUUUGUUGAUGAUAAAAAAUAGGAAAUGGGUGGGCAAGGCUGUCACUAUGUCAUGUCUGUCAAACUCUAGGCACAGCCAAGGAAAAGUUGUAAAGACAGUGCAAUUUGAUGAUAAAAUUUAUCAUACUGCCUUACACGUUAAUUGCAAUUAGAGCAUCAGACUUGCCACCUCACAUCAUCCUGUAGGCACUUCUAGACCCGCAUUUGGUUGCCAUAUGUCAGGCCUGAGGUGUUGUAGCAUGGCAUUGCAACAGUAAAUGUGCUUGGGACCAAAGUUUGGACACACUACAAAACCCUGUUGGCUGCAUCAGGACAAAAGGAGAUAAACCCCCCCCCCCUUUCAGGAUGAAAGCAGAGCUGGA